CCUACGGGAGGCAGCAGUAUGGAAUAUUGGACAAUGGAGGAAAGUCUGAUCCAGCCAUGCCGCGUGCAGUGAUGAAAGCCCUAUGGGUUGUAAACUGCUUUUAUACAGGAAGAAACACUUGUACGUGUACGAGCUUGACGGUACUGUAAGAAUAAGGACCGGCUAACUCCGUGCCAGCAGCCGCGGUAAUACGGAGGGUCCGAGCGUUAUCCGGAAUCAUUGGGUUUAAAGGGUCCGCAGGCGGUCUUUUAAGUCAGAGGUGAAAUCCUACAGCUCAACUGUAGAACUGCCUUUGAUACUGAAAGACUUGAGUUAUUAUGAAGUGGUUAGAAUGUGUGGUGUAGCGGUGAAAUGCAUAGAGAUCACACAGAAUACCGAUUGCGAAGGCAGAUCACUAAUAAUAUACUGACGCUCAUGGACGAAAGCGUGGCGUAGCGAACAGGAUUAGAUACCCUGGUAG
Molecule: ribosomal RNA, 460 nt
Filed under: uncultured bacterium
Lineage: Bacteria
Description: bacterial SSU rRNA
Rfam family: Bacterial small subunit ribosomal RNA
Source: RNAcentral